GACGAACGCUGGCGGCGUGCUUAACACAUGCAAGUCGAACGCUGAAGCUUGGUGCUUGCACUGGGUGGAUGAGUGGCGAACGGGUGAGUAAUACGUGAGUAACCUGCCCUUGACUCUGGGAUAAGCCUGGGAAACUGGGUCUAAUACUGGAUAUGACAUGCCACUGCAUGGUGGUGUGUGGAAAGGGUUUUACUGGUUUUGGAUGGGCUCACGGCCUAUCAGCUUGUUGGUGGGGUAAUGGCCUACCAAGGCGACGACGGGUAGCCGGCCUGAGAGGGUGACCGGCCACACUGGGACUGAGAGACGGCCCAGACUCCUACGGGAGGCAGCAGUGGGGAAUAUUGCACAAUGGGCGGAAGCCUGAUGCAGCGACGCCGCGUGAGGGAUGACGGCCUUCGGGUUGUGAACCUCUUUCAGCACGGAAGAAGCGAGAGUGACGGUACGUGCAGAAGAAGCGCCGGCUAACUACGUG
Molecule: ribosomal RNA, 472 nt
Filed under: uncultured bacterium
Lineage: Bacteria
Description: partial 16S ribosomal RNA
Rfam family: Bacterial small subunit ribosomal RNA
Source: RNAcentral